This is a non-coding RNA of Pelobates cultripes (western spadefoot toad), 104 nucleotides long. The record is from the annotation of a GenBank genome assembly. NCBI's taxonomy places the organism in Eukaryota, Metazoa, Chordata, Amphibia, Anura, Pelobatidae.
AGCACAAUGUUAACGCAAUGGUGCAGAGGGGGAGGAUGGGAAAUGUAGGAUCCUACAUUUCCCAUCCUCCCCCUCUGCACCAUUGCGUUUUGAACAUUGUGCUA